Molecule: ribosomal RNA, 548 nt
Filed under: uncultured bacterium
Lineage: Bacteria
Description: bacterial SSU rRNA
Rfam family: Bacterial small subunit ribosomal RNA
Source: RNAcentral
UAGGGAAUCUUCGGCAAUGGACGGAAGUCUGACCGAGCAACGCCGCGUGAGUGAAGAAGGUUUUCGGAUCGUAAAGCUCUGUUGUAAGAGAAGAACGAGUGUGAGAGUGGAAAGUUCACACUGUGACGGUAUCUUACCAGAAAGGGACGGCUAACUACGUGCCAGCAGCCGCGGUAAUACGUAGGUCCCGAGCGUUGUCCAGAUUUAUUGGGCGUAAAGCGAGCGCAGGCGGUUAGAUAAGUCUGAAGUUAAAGGCUGUGGCUUAACCAUAGUAGGCUUUGGAAACUGUUUAACUUGAGUGCAAGAGGGGAGAGUGGAAUUCCAUGUGUAGCGGUGAAAUGCGUAGAUAUAUGGAGGAACACCGGUGGCGAAAGCGGCUCUCUGGCUUGUAACUGACGCUGAGGCUCGAAAGCGUGGGGAGCAAACAGGAUUAGAUACCCUGGUAGUCCACGCCGUAACGAUGAGUGCUAGGUGUUAGGCCCUUUCCGGGGCUUAGUGCCGCAGCUAACGCAUUAAGCACUCCGCCUGGGGAGUACGACCGCAAGGUU